GCCAGUUCAGACCACCUUUGCAGCGAUCCUCAGAGCAAGGGUUCCCCCAAGCUCCUUAGGUCACUGGGCCAACAUCUUUCAGAUGACAAUUAAGUCUCCUCCCCUUUAGGGGGUCAGUGGGCAACAGACACCAGUGAAGCAGUGGUUGAAAGAUGGUAGUUCACAGCCCAAACAUGGACGCCACGUCUUCACAAGGGGCCUUCUUGAAGGAGAAUGCAUGUCCUCAAACUUCAUUGUUUUUACUGUUCCGUGGAAUCCAGUGACUGACCUUGGGGACCUUGACUCCUAGGCCUGAGACCCGAGUGCAGCAGCACCCAGUGGCUUCUCCCAGCUCUGCUCACCCAGGAAACCUCAGGAGGCCAGGCUCCCUCCAGGAGGCAUCAGGAGUCAGGCCCCGACUCCAGGAACUCACUCCUGGUGGGAGAGUCUCCUGGUACCGAGCAGAUGUGGACCAGCCUUGAGACCUUCUGCUGCUUCCAAGCGAUACUGCCGUCCUCCUGGGAACCCAGGCUCGUGCUGCUUCUUGGCUCUUGUUGCAGGAGAAGAUUUCAGGCAAGAAACAAAACAGAGUAAAAGUACAACAAAUUGCAGGCACACUGGAGCAGCAUAGAGACCCUGUGCUUGGCCAGGUGUCUGCAAGUGACAAGCAAGGAUUGGGAGGACUCAAGACGACGGUGACACCAGCCUUCAAAACCAGAUCUGGCCCUCGCUCGCCCAGUGUUGAAGAUAAACACCAGAGAAAUGUAGAGCCACCUGUCCAUUGUGGCAGUCUCAAUGGCUCUGCCGUGAAUGGGGGAGAAAGAAGGAAAGUGGGAUUGAAGAGGGGGGGUCAGGUCCUCCUUCCAUGGAUGAGGUUCAAGUGCUGGUGUGAUCCUGGGGGACGUGAUCACUAGGCCAGGUAAGUGUGUAAGUGUGCGCCUGGAGUGAGAAGGACAGGGACCAGAAAUCAGCUCUGAAGACAGGCCCAACAGUGAGAGCCAAGGGCACUGGAUGAAAUGGGCCCAGUGGUGGGGCCUGAAGAGCUCAGCGAGGCUAGCGGAAGAAAUCCAGGCCUGGAAAAGGUGAGUCAAGGCGAGUUCAGGGCAGGGAGACGUAGGGUGAGACCAGUGAGUCCGCAAGGGGGUGUUGCCUUCUCCAAGGUCACGGGAAGACUGAGCCCCGGGAGAGCUGAGAGGAGGCCCAAGGUGGCCAGAACCACACUCAGAGACAGUCUUGAAACUGCUGAGGCUUCUCUAAAGGCCAUAGUCAAAGCAAAUAUAUGACAACAAUAAAGAAAUGUAAAUACUUAAACCAUUGGUCAACCUCUGCUAGCCUGCCCAGCUAGGACCUUUAUGGAGCCAAGGGUCUGGUUAACGGAAAAGGACAGGCGUCGACACCUGCCAGUGUCCCUUCAGGGGGGAGUUUGCCAGAGCCUCACAGAGGCGACGGGGUGCAGAGAAGGCUUUCUAAAUCACCCCUCGACAAACUCGUCGACCCUCUUCCUACGCUGCUAAUACUGUAUCUUGUUCGUCUAACCCCAAGGUGUGGUCAUCCAGCACAAGAGAAAAGGAGCCGAACCCAUUCUGACUUCACUCUCUUCACUUAAGAGCUGACCCAGAGAGGAUGAGACCAACAGGGAAGUGUUUUGUCAAAAUGACUGUUUGCAUCCCGUCUCCUGUUCCUCAUUCUCCUCGUUGCCACCGUCACAUAUUAGGCACUGACUUUUUAAAAAAACUCUCCUGUGUGAUGAGUUUAGAGACAACCCACUAGUAUUUCCAAACUCUGGUUUUUUUUGUUUUUUUUAUAACUUCCUAGGGAUUGAACCCAGGGCCUUAAGGUGCUAGGUAGGCACUAUACCACUGAAGGACAUCUCCAGCUCCUUUUAACUUUUAUUCUUGAGACAAUCUCAUUAAAUUGCCCAGGCUGGCCUCAAACUGGGGAUCUUCCUGCCUAAGCUUUCUGAGUUCCUGCCAUUAGCCACAUGUCUGACUUCUAUCUUUUUAAAAAUAAAGAUACAAACAUAA
Long non-coding RNA from Marmota monax (woodchuck), 2003 nucleotides. RefSeq lists it as uncharacterized. NCBI's taxonomy places the organism in Eukaryota, Metazoa, Chordata, Mammalia, Rodentia, Sciuridae. The record is from RefSeq and is a predicted model, not a curated record. The transcript is spliced from 4 exons.